CUCCCUCUGCCCCUCCCCACUCAUGCUCUCUCAGCGCACUCUCUCUCUUUCUCAAAUCUUAAAAAGCGAGAAAUGGCAGCACCUCAGCGUUUGUCUCUCUUCCAGAUCUGCCAGUUGAACAGGGACAGUGAUGCCCCCUCUCCACUUCCUGCUCCCCAGUUCCGCCUCCUCAAGGGAAAAGCCAAGUCACGAAAAGGGCAGUACUUAUGUUCAGACUUGAAGUGUCAUUUUCCCUCAUCACGGCCCAAAUCAUGAAAAGGAGCCAGGACGCUAUUUUUAAGCGACAAGAAAAUUGAGGCUGAAAGGUGAAGUAACUUGCUUGAGCUUGCCGCAUGCGUAAAUGGCAGGACUGGGAUGUGACCAGAGCCAGCUCCAUCAGUGGAGCCCAGAGCAAAAGGAAGGUGUGCAAAACGGCUCUGCACCGCUAACCCACGGCAGGAAUGGAAGAAGGUGGUGCUGCCGCGGAGGAGGAAGCUGAAAGGAUCUGCCUGGCCUCAGCUCCUGUGAAUGGGUAGGAAAAUGCACUUUGGCCCGGGUGUGGUCAGCCAUGGAGAGAGCCAACCAGCCCCUCCUCACCUGCAUGGGCGGGGCCGGGGAUGGACGGAGGGCUCCGCCUAUUUCCACUCACUCACCUCUCUGCCCAUUCACUCAGGCAUCCCCCAUUCACGGAGCCCCUCAACAACACUCAGGUUUUCUUCUCAUUUUGGGGUCUCUCUCUCUCGAUCUUCUUUUUUUCCCUUUUAAUUUACUUUAAUUAAUUUAUUUUAAAAGAUUUUAACUGUUUAUGUUGUCUCUGCAUCCAAUAUGGAGCUCAAAUCUGUAACCGCGAGACUGAUACUGACCGUGCCCACCAGUGGGGCAAGCCCCAACCCCUUUUAUUUUAUUUUAUUUAUACUUUUUUUUUAAGAUUUUAUUUAUUUUAUUUGACAGACAGA
Molecule: long non-coding RNA, 935 nt
Organism: Mustela erminea (ermine)
Lineage: Eukaryota; Metazoa; Chordata; Mammalia; Carnivora; Mustelidae
Exons: 3
Source: RefSeq, a predicted model, not a curated record